RNAcentral lists this ribosomal RNA (497 nucleotides) under uncultured bacterium. RNAcentral's name for it is "partial 16S ribosomal RNA". It matches the Rfam family "Bacterial small subunit ribosomal RNA", at positions 28 to 507 of the family's 1533-position model. The record is from RNAcentral.
GAUGAACGCUGGCGGCGUGCCUAAUACAUGCAAGUCGAGCGAACGGACGAGAAGCUUGCUUCUCUGAUGUUAGCGGCGGACGGGUGAGUAACACGUGGAUAACCUACCUAUAAGACUGGGAUAACUUCGGGAAACCGGAUCUAAUACCGGAUAAUAUUUUGAACCGCAUGGUUCAAAAGUGAAAGACGGUCUUGCUGUCACUUAUAGAUGGAUCCGCGCUGCAUUAGCUAGUUGGUAAGGUAACGGCUUACCAAGGCAACGAUGCAUAGCCGACCUGAGAGGGUGAUCGGCCACACUGGAACUGAGACACGGUCCAGACUCCUACGGGAGGCAGCAGUAGGGAAUCUUCCGCAAUGGGCGAAAGCCUGACGGAGCAACGCCGCGUGAGUGAUGAAGGUCUUCGGAUCGUAAAGCUCUGUUAUUAGGGAAGAACAUAUGUGUAAGUAACUGUGCACAUCUUGACGGUACCUAAUCAGAAAGCCACGGCUAACUACGUG